UCCAGACUCCUACGGGAGGCAGCAGUGAGGAAUAUUGGUCAAUGGGCGAGAGCCUGAACCAGCCAAGUAGCGUGCAGGAUGACGGCCCUAUGGGUUGUAAACUGCUUUUAUAAGGGAAUAAAGUGAGCCUCGUGAGGCUUUUGCAUGUACCUUAUGAAUAAGGACCGGCUAAUUCCGUGC
Molecule: ribosomal RNA, 180 nt
Filed under: uncultured bacterium
Lineage: Bacteria
Description: partial 16S ribosomal RNA
Rfam family: Bacterial small subunit ribosomal RNA
Source: RNAcentral